AUGAUGAACGCUAGCUACAGGCUUAACACAUGCAAGUCGAGGGGCAGCAUGGUCUUAGUUUGCUAAGGCCGAUGGCGACCGGCGCACGGGUGAGUAACACGUAUCCAACCUGCCGUCUACUCUUGGACAGCCUUCUGAAAGGAAGAUUGAUACAAGAUGGCAUCAUGAGUCCGCAUGUUCACAUGAUUAAAGGUAUUCCGGUAGACGAUGGGGAUGCGUUCCAUUAGAUAGUAGGCGGGGUAACGGCCCACCUAGUCUUCGAUGGAUAGGGGUUCUGAGAGGAAGGUCCCCCACAUUGGAACUGAGACACGGUCCAAACUCCUACGGGAGGCAGCAGUGAGGAAUAUUGGUCAAUGGGCGAGAGCCUGAACCAGCCAAGUAGCGUGAAGGAUGACUGCCCUAUGGGUUGUAAACUUCUUUUAUAAAGGAAUAAAGUCGGGUAUGCAUACCCGUUUGCAUGUACUUUAUGAAUAAGGAUCGGCUAACUCCGUGCCAGCAGCCGCGGUAAUACGGAGGAUCCGAGCGUUAUCCGGAUUUAUUGGGUUUAAAGGGAGCGUAGAUGGAUGUUUAAGUCAGUUGUGAAAGUUUGCGGCUCAACCGUAAAAUUGCAGUUGAUACUGGAUAUCUUGAGUGCAGUUGAGGCAGGCGGAAUUCGUGGUGUAGCGGUGAAAUGCUUAGAUAUCACGAAGAACUCCGAUUGCGAAGGCAGCCUGCUAAGCUGCAACUGACAUUGAGGCUCGAAAGUGUGGGUAUCAAACAGGAUUAGAUACCCUGGUAGUCCACACGGUAAACGAUGAAUACUCGCUGUUUGCGAUAUACUGCAAGCGGCCAAGCGAAAGCGUUAAGUAUUCCACCUGGGGAGUACGCCGGCAACGGUGAAACUCAAAGGAAUUGACGGGGGCCCGCACAAGCGGAGGAACAUGUGGUUUAAUUCGAUGAUACGCGAGGAACCUUACCCGGGCUUAAAUUGCAGAUGAAUUACGGUGAAAGCCGUAAGCCGCAAGGCAUCUGUGAAGGUGCUGCAUGGUUGUCGUCAGCUCGUGCCGUGAGGUGUCGGCUUAAGUGCCAUAACGAGCGCAACCCUUGUUGUCAGUUACUAACAGGUUCCGCUGAGGACUCUGACAAGACUGCCAUCGUAAGAUGUGGGGAAGGUGGGGAUGACGUCAAAUCAGCACGGCCCUUACGUCCGGGGCUACACACGUGUUACAAUGGGGGGUACAGAGGGCCGCUACCACGCGAGUGGAUGCCAAUCCCCAAAACCUCUCUCAGUUCGGACUGGAGUCUGCAACCCGACUCCACGAAGCUGGAUUCGCUAGUAAUCGCGCAUCAGCCACGGCGCGGUGAAUACGUUCCCGGGCCUUGUACACACCGCCCGUCAAGCCAUGGGAGCCGGGGGUACCUGAAGUGCGUAACCGCGAGGAGCGCCCUAGGGUAAAACUGGUG
This 1443-nucleotide ribosomal RNA is filed under the name uncultured organism. RNAcentral describes it as "SSU rRNA". It matches the Rfam family "Bacterial small subunit ribosomal RNA". The record is from RNAcentral.